GUGGAUAUGGAGAAACCGAAGAUAGCAUUCAUUGCCAUCAUGGUAUAGUUUCAGCUGAGAUAGGGCAACUCUCCGCAAUUCCUCCAAAGCAGAGAACACUGGAAGCAAUUGAAGUCUACAAAAGAAACAAGAAACAUGUUCCACAAGAAGCAUUCAGGGGAGGUUUCAUAUUAGAAAAGAUCGCGACACCUUUAUCAACAGGGCACAUUAGCUUGAAG
This 218-nucleotide unclassified non-coding RNA is filed under the name Hevea brasiliensis (rubber tree). The record is from RNAcentral. Lineage: Eukaryota; Viridiplantae; Streptophyta; Magnoliopsida; Malpighiales; Euphorbiaceae.